UCGUCAUUGCUGCGGUUAAAAAGCUCGUAGUUGGAUCUGCGCCUCAGGACCUGGUCCGCCCACUGGGCGAGAACUGGGCUCCUGGGCUAGUUCUGCUGGUUUUCCCUACGUUGCCUUCAUCGGUCGCGUAGGGUGGCUAGCGAGUUUACUUUGAAAAAAUUAGAGUGCUUCACGCGGGCUUAUGUCUGAAUACUCGUGCAUGGAAUAAUAGAAUAGGAUCUCGGUUCUAUUUUGUUGGUUUUCUGAUCUGAGAUAAUGGUUAAGAGGGACGGACGGGGGCAUUCGUAUCGCUGCGUGAGAGGUGAAAUUCUUGGACCGUAGCGAGACGUCCGACUGCGAAAGCAUUUGCCAAGAAUGUCUUCUUUAAUCAAGAAC
RNAcentral lists this ribosomal RNA (375 nucleotides) under Ascaris lumbricoides (common roundworm). RNAcentral's name for it is "SSU rRNA". It matches the Rfam family "Eukaryotic small subunit ribosomal RNA", at positions 609 to 984 of the family's 1831-position model. The record is from RNAcentral. Lineage: Eukaryota; Metazoa; Nematoda; Chromadorea; Rhabditida; Ascarididae.